RNAcentral lists this unclassified non-coding RNA (387 nucleotides) under soil metagenome. RNAcentral's name for it is "partial contains 5.8S ribosomal RNA, internal transcribed spacer 2, and large subunit ribosomal RNA". The stretch from base 1 to 120 matches the Rfam family "5.8S ribosomal RNA", at positions 35 to 154 of the family's 154-position model. The record is from RNAcentral.
GAUGAAGAACGUAGCGAAAUGCGAUAAGUAAUGUGAAUUGCAGAAUUCAGUGAAUCAUCGAAUCUUUGAACGCACCUUGCACCCUUUGGUAUUCCGAAGGGUAUGCUCGUUUGAGUGUCAUUGUACUCUCACACUUCUAAUUCCUUUCGGGAUUGGGAGCGGUGGACUUGGGUGUUGCUGCUUUAGUUGUGGCUCACCUCAAAUAAGUUAGUGCAACUCUUGGUUGGACAUAGUACGGCGUGAUAAGUGUCUUCGCCGGCGCCUCUGUAAGGAGGGUGGCCGAUCGGGAGCUCUGUGCUUCAAACCGUCUUCGGACAAUCUUUGACAACUUGACCUCAAAUCGAGUAGGACCACCCGCUGAACUUAAGCAUAUCAAUAAGCGGAGGA